Molecule: long non-coding RNA, 4720 nt
Filed under: Equus caballus (horse)
Lineage: Eukaryota; Metazoa; Chordata; Mammalia; Perissodactyla; Equidae
Description: lncRNA (ENSECAG00000044063.1)
Source: RNAcentral
CAUUUUCACUGUACCUAUUUUAUUUCUGCUUAGUUUUCAUUGACAAUUUAUUAAUAGAUUUUUUUCACCAUUUAUCUCUGAGGAUCUUACACAUAGGUAUUUUAAAGUCCUUUUUAGAAUUAAGUGCAGCAAUUUCAUGCUGAUUUUGUAGUUUGGCUUUUCUCGUGUGAUUUUUCUCUUGAGGUUGGGUCCAGGUCUUCCCAGCUCCUUAGGCCCGAGCUUCCUAUGAGCCAUAGUUGUAGGCAGUGUUUGGGAGUGUAGCUUUGUUUUAGUCAUCUUUCACAAGUCAGAAAGCUCUCCCUAAGUCCCUGGUUUUAAGAAGGGACCCUGGAUCCUGUAUUCUGCCCUCAGGGAGGGUGUAUUUAUUCUCUACUACACCCAGGAGGAAGCUCUGCUUUUCUUCCAGGCAUUGAACCAACAAAGCUGGUGCCCAAGUCAUCAUCUUGCAGUUUUUUCCGUUCUCAUAGCAAGGAAGGAUUUAUCUUAUUCUUUAGCUUGGCUUUGCCUUUUUAUUUAUUUAUUUUUAAGUACUUUAUGUUUCAUUGCUAUUUGUUCAGACAGGGAGGAAGUGGCCCUCAAGAAAUGAAUUUACAAGUUUAUAUUAACACUGAGGCCCCCUGUUGGUCAUUAGAUCAGAAACAGUGUUUUAUUUUGUUUUGCUUUUUUUUUCUUUUUUGGGGAAGGGGAAGACGUGAGGAAGAUUGGCCCUGAGCCAACAUCUGUUGCCAAUCUUCCUCUUUUUGCUUGAGGAAGAUUGCUGGUGAGCUAACAUCUGUGCCAAUCUUCCUCUACUUUAUGUGGGAUGCCACCACAGCAUGGCUCAAUGAGCAGUGCCAGGCCUGCACCAUGGAUCUGAACCCAUGAACCCCGGGCUUCGGAACCCAACCACUACACCACUGAGUUGGCCCCUUGUUUUACAUUUUUAAGUUAUGUCUAACACUCAAGUUGUUUUCAGUUAUGUGGAGCCCUUUGACAGGAAUCAAGAGAGAAGAACAGAGACUAUGAGGUUUCCCAUGUGGUCCUGAGUUUUAUUAUAGUGGUGAAUCUAGAUCCACACAGAUCGGGGAAUAAAUACUAUUUUUUCCAUAAUGGUAGAAACAAGUGGUUUAAUCUCUUUGAGCCCUGGUUUCCCCAUCUAUAACAUGGGAAAAUUGUUUCAACAUUUUUGUUUUUUUUAAGGAUUAAAUAGAGUGUAUAUGAAGUAUAUACCACAGUGACUGGCUCUGUAUCUUCACAGAGAGUAACAAAAAACCAACUCAGAUGCUUAAGCAAAAUGUAAAUUGACUGGCAUAUUUUACCGGAAGUUCAGAGAUAGGGUGGGUUUACAGACUAACCUAAUCCAGUGUCUCCAGUCGUGAUCCUUGUGAUUCCCCUGGAUGUACACUCUUCAUAUAUCUACUUCUUGUAUAAAUGUUACUAUAUCUCCUCGUCAGACUGAUAGUGACAAGGUGCCCACAACUAGUCUGGACCUGUCUGCAUAAACAACAUCCAGAAGAGACAAGUUAUGUCAGAGGAAGAGGACAUGCUGAUUGGCAAAAUCCACAAGCCCCAUUCUUUGAGCUUGGGGUAGGAUGAGGCUCCCCUGAAUUACAAAGGAUGUAAGUGGGAGGAGCACUUGUGUUAAGAGGGUGAAAGUGGUCUCUGGGUAGGAGUGCCAGGAUGUUUUUGGGUACCCAGCUCAAACUGGUGUAAACAAUAGAAACAUGUAUUACUUCAUAUGACAGGCAGUCCAAAGGUAUGGCUCAGCUCACAAGAGUCAAUUGUUGGAUACUCAAGAAUUUCGUAAGUCAGUUGUUAAACUGUUGGUAGCUUGAUAGUGUCAUGGUCAGAGCAAUUACUUUGCUUAGAGAAUGCUGACUUUGUAUUUUUAAAGUAGAAGGAAUCAGUUUCUUCAGUCAAGUGAACGUAAGGGGACUUUUGCAGGUAUUGCUUCCAGCCUUUAAAGUCCUACAUUUAAUUUCUAGCCACCAAGCUAAGCUUCUGUCUGGAGACAUUUACCAUCAAUAAAGUUAAGACCACUCUCCAUCUUCUUUUCUUCCAUAAGAAUGCUUUAAGGGAGCAAUUGACUUCCUGGCACCAAUAGUAGUCAUUUUUUAGUUGUUUUUUACUGAGAGGACAUAAAUCUUGCUGGUAACGUCAGCCCCCUUGGGAGAUGCCUCCAGUCAUCAACUGUCAGCUCCUAUGGGAGCCACAAACCCAGAAACAUGGAAGCUAGGUACCUGGGUGCUGCCAAACCAGGAGAGUACAGACUCCCUUCUUUCCAUCCUACUCUCCCUCACCUCCUCAACUCCCUCCUCCUCUUCCCCCUCUCCCACAGGACCAGUGUGAAGUCAUGGCUCUCGUGCCCUCCACUCUCUUCAACUCCAUCUCUCCUUCCUUUUUCUUCUCUUUUUCUCCACCUCAUGCUUCUGUUGUGUACUUUCCUUCUCUCUCUCUUUCGAAUUUUCUUAGGAAGGAGGCCUUGGUGAGAGGGAGUGUGAUUCUUCCUCCUCUCCACAUCCAGUGUGUCACCAGGUCCUGUUGAUUUGACUUCCUAAAUACUCUUGAAUCCAUCCAGUUUUGUCUGUGCAUUCAAGACCGUUACCCUGUUCCUGGCCACAUGCUCACCUUGGAUUAUUGCAGCAGCUUCUUAACUGGUCUUGUUUUCACUCUUGUGCCUCCAAUCCACACUCCAGACAGCAGCCAGCAUGAUCUUUCUCAAUGGAAAAUUUGAUUAUGUUGCUUCCCUGCUUAAAAUCCUCCCAUGGCUUCCUAUGCUCUUAGAGUAGAGUCUACACUGGGUUUAUAAGGCCCUCUGAGACCUGGGCAUAUGCACCUUUCUAGUUCCCUUUCUGAACACUUUUCCCUCUCCCACUCUAAAGCCCCAGCCAUGUCAAACCACUUUUUGUCCCUCAAAGCUGCUGGGCUAUCCUUCCUUGCCUCCGAGUUUUUCUCUUCUUGCUUCUUCCUCCCAUUUUGCCUUGCUACCACCAAUUUAUCCUUGAGGUCUCAGCUUUAAAUAUCACUUUUUAUGGAAUUCAUAUCCUGAUGCUGUCUAAACCAUACACCUCUGACGUGUUCACAUACAAUGCCAUUUUAUAGAUAGUUGUUUAACUGUCUCUCCCUUGCUAAAAUCAGGAAAUCAUGAUUAACACAGAGUAGGUAUUCUUUCAAUCAACAUUUCUUAAGCGAAUCCAUUAAUGAAGGAAUAAAUGUAUGCCCAAGUCAUUUGUGUGUCUUUGUGACCAGCAUUUGGUAGGAGUUAUAGUGAAUGCUAGAAAGGCUGAUCUUUUUCCUUAAAAAAUGAUCAUGUUGUUAAAUUAUCAGAGUAUCCAAAGCCCUUCAAGAUUCUUCCCCUCCCUCUGUGUCAUUCCAACCCUCUUUCUCACUGCUUCCUCAAUGCCCCCCACCUUCUUGUUUCUAACACCAUUACACUCAGUCGAAAUCUUGCCCUGACUGCUUGUACCCUGUGCUCCCCACCAAAAAGAACAUCUAGCCAAAUUCCACCCCUCCUCAAAGGCCCAGGGAAAGAACUCCUUCAAGAGGCCCUCACUAAGUCUCUGCAAGCCUCAAUUCUCUUCUGAAGUCAUCCGUGACUGCCUUUAGGAACACCCCUGGCAUUCCAGCAAGCACCUUAUACUACUUGAUUUGUCAUGUGUAUGUUGAUAUGUCAUGUAUAUCUUGUCCCCCUAUAUACGCUGUAAGGUCCUUCAGGGCAAGAAACAAACCAAAAAGAAGUGAUUAAGAGGACCAGCUCUGAAGACAGUGCAUUUGGAUCUCUGCCAUCCCUUGAUUUGAGAGCUUGCCACCUUGGGCAAGUCACUGAACCUCUCUGAGCCUCAGUUUCCUGACUUCUAGAAGAGAGAUGAUAAUAAUAAUAUCUUCCAUGUAGUUUUGCUCUGAGGAUUAAAUGAGAUACUCCCACUGGAGUACCUGGAAGGCGGCUGACACAUGGUCCGGCUCACAGGGAUACGUCCAGCGCUGUGCCCGGGAAUCUGCAUAUUACAAAGCACCCUCGAUAACUGUGAUGCUGAAGCCCCUUGGACCACAUUUUAAGAAACUGUACUAUGCAAAUACGUACCAAUGCAAGGAGAGAGGUUAAGACUUGUAUUCCCUAGGGCUGGUUUGCUUUGGAUAGAGAUCCUGAAGACCGAUGACAACAGUAACAGCUUUGAUGGAUCACCUCAGCCUUGCCUCAGUUUCACCCUUACUGUCAAUAAGAGCAAGUAUCUGAACAGGGAAGUUUACUGAGGUGGUUUCCUGCGGGGAGUGGGGAUGGAGCACAGGGAGGGUCUCAGGUGUGAAGAGGUUUGAAGUAGUCUUACUUCCCCCUUUAUGCAGUAUGAUCAUUGGCCCAUGCAAGAACCCUUUUUAAUUUUAUUUUCAUCAGUGCAUUUUAUUCCCAGACGUUGAGGUCGAUAUUAUUACGCCCAUUUUAAAGAUGAAGAAACUGAGGGUCCAAGAAGACAAAGGAUUAUACAAACUCAUACAUCUUUCUGCUGACAACUCAGUUUUUUGUACUCCAGAGAGAUUUCUAAAACAAUGAGUGAUGUCACUCGUAGGAACGCUUAGUCAUGCCCUCACUGGAAGCCCAAUGAACUUUCACUGAAAACCAACAUGGGUCUGGCAUGAGAUCUAGAGUUAGAUGAGGGGUUCCUGUCCCUACCUAGAGAAGAUUCUCAGUUGACACUUAAUAAAGAUGACCAGACCAGGCUCGAUUCAGCUAGAUAUCUUCUACGCC